This is a long non-coding RNA of Haliotis rubra (blacklip abalone), 203 nucleotides long. RefSeq lists it as uncharacterized. The record is from RefSeq and is a predicted model, not a curated record. NCBI's taxonomy places the organism in Eukaryota, Metazoa, Mollusca, Gastropoda, Lepetellida, Haliotidae. The transcript has 2 exons.
UUUAGGAUCUACCUGAAUACCAGCUGCAACCAAUAAACUCUUUCUCUGGGGCUGGAAAACAUAUUUAAAGUCAUGAUUGAGACCAAGAGCAUCACUUCCAUCCUUGCUGUAGAUUUUGUUGGGACAUCUCAUCAACGAACAUGAAGCUGUUUCUCCUGAUGGUUCUUGCCACUCUGUUGACUGCAGAAUGUGUUGUUGCAGAA